This 902-nucleotide unclassified non-coding RNA is filed under the name Hevea brasiliensis (rubber tree). The record is from RNAcentral. Lineage: Eukaryota; Viridiplantae; Streptophyta; Magnoliopsida; Malpighiales; Euphorbiaceae.
CUUUUUUACUCAAUGUGACUCAGUCUGUUCUCCUCUGCUCUUUUUGACCCUUUUUCAUGCGCGUAUGCUCGAAAUGGAGUCCCAAACCCAACCUUCAAAGAUUGCCUGUCUUGCUGAUUAUUCUAGUACUGUCUCACUCUCACGUUAUCUAGUUUCACUUCUUCCCCUUUUCUUUAAACAAGUCUAACGCCAUUCAUAUUUAAAAUUCUUUCUGUUCUGUUUAAGUUUUAGGUAUUGGACAGACAAGUUGUUUGAACAUGGAGAGACAUGGGUCCAGCGGGGGUUCUGCAGGGUCACCUCCAAUUGGGCUAGGACUUGCGCUUGGACGUGGUGGCUCGACUGAUCGUAGACCAAUACCAAUCCCUGGCUGCACCUUAUCUUACGGCUUCACCAUUCUGCAACUUCAAGAGCUACAGCUCCAAUCUCUUAUCUACAAGUACAUUGAAUCUGGAUUCCCAGUCCCCUACCAUCUUGUUCUCCCAAUAUGGAAGAGUGUUUCUAGCUCCCUCAGCGGUUUCAAUUCAAGCUUGUACCAACUCUACCCUACCUUCAUGGGGUAUAGCAUCCCAUUGCAUUUGGAAUAUAAAAAUGGGAUGGACCCGGAGCCAGGGAGAUGUAGAAGAACAGAUGGGAAGAAAUGGAGGUGUAGCAAAGAGGCUCUUCCAGAUCAGAAGUACUGUGAAAGGCACAUGCAUAGAGGGCGCCAGCGUUCAAGAAAGCUUGUGGAAGCUGCUUCUCAAAACAAUAGUGCUAGCACCAACCUCUCCAUUUCACUUCCAUUCUCAAAUGAUCCAUCAAAUGGAGAAGUUGGAUUGAGGCCGUAGUUUCAAACAGGAGAAAGGUUGUUGUUGGUGAUAGCAUUGUCAGAAAUUUCGUGGGCUCCAGCGUUGUUUAAUUUUGCC